Molecule: long non-coding RNA, 971 nt
Organism: Physella acuta
Lineage: Eukaryota; Metazoa; Mollusca; Gastropoda; Physidae
Source: RefSeq, a predicted model, not a curated record
UUGGUGACCUGGGUGGACAUGUCAUUCACCUAGGUAGAUGUCAGUAGCCCAGUAGUAUGAAGUGACCAACUGUCAAGGUUAUGUUUGCUGUUGGCCUAGUUUUCUGCAAGAUGUUAUGAUGUGGUUAGCAAACAAGCUGUUGGAAGCUUAAGUGUAUGCUGUUUGGAAGCUUUAGUGUAUGCUGUUAUUUUUGUUGCAUGAAUGCUGCACUUUUGUCCAAUAUAAACAAGAUUGGGGCAGGGGUGGGUGGGUGGAUCAUUACGUAACCCAGAAAUAUAUAGCUUGUAUUAAGAUUAGACAUUGGCCAGUGUUGUAGAUGUAGUAUCACACACGACUAGUGUAAGUUUAGCGUUGUUGUUGACUUAAAUAUGUUGGUAAUAAAAAUCUGAAAUUUCAAAUAAUCUGUAGCUUUAUUUUUAAGCAGUCACUAGAUUAAGGGCAUUUAGUUCUGAAAAUGUAGUUAUGUAAUUAAUAAAUUUGUUUCACAAAAGCUGGAUACAAUAUUUAAUUUUACUUAAAGUUUUAAAAUAUUCUCCACUUGGUCUGUGCCGCUGUGCAAAAUAUUUUGAUUACAAUUUCAACCUAGUGGUCAACCUCAGUCUAGUGUCCAGUCUUGUUGUCCAUUGUUGUUGUCUGGCUGUCCACUCUUGUAGUUCCAAUAACUUUGACAGUGACUUUCUAAUGUAAACUGACAAAUGUAUUUUUCCAAACACUUCAAUGACACUAAGAUUGUAGAACUAGGUUGUGUUUCCUGACUAUUUUGUUGUACAUCACUUAACUGUGUUGUUGUCCUUUACUAGGUUGUGUUGUUGUCCUUCACUAGGUUGUGUUGUGAUCAAGAUACUUUGUAUGCAGCCAUGGAACAGCAGGGGAUGGUUGUAGUUGUUCUUGUUCAAUUAGUUGGCUUUUGAUGACAUUUGAAAGUCAUAAACUUUUUAAUAAGCUGAGAAUAAAUUGUUCACUCUGAUUAU